This 1676-nucleotide long non-coding RNA is filed under the name Olea europaea subsp. europaea. Lineage: Eukaryota; Viridiplantae; Streptophyta; Magnoliopsida; Lamiales; Oleaceae. The record is from RNAcentral.
GACAAAGCCCAUUUUGGUUUAGUACAAAAUCUUAGAAAACCUAAUCAUUUCUCUCUCGCCCUUCCCUUGAUCAUCAUUUGUGCUGCUCUUCCUCUUUAAAAAUUACUCAUCUGCACUCUUCACAUUUUUCUAAGAUCUCGUCAAAAAUCAUUGGGAUCAGAAAUUGGCUCACAAAGGUAAGGAAAUCUCCCAAAAUUUCUGCAGAUUUUUUGAUAUCCUUAUUUAAGCAAUCGAAUCCUAGGUAAAUUAUUUAUAUUUGUCAGAUUUGGUUUAGGUUUUUCCACUUUCUGCUUCUUCCGUUUGUUUAGAAACAAAUUUUCAUUUUUUAAGAUUAUAAUCAAAUGUAAGUGUUAUAGCUUUUAAUUUCAUCUAUCAUUUGCAGUUUUGUGUUUGCCUUUUGUAUUUCACACCCUCUCUAUUUCUCUAAAUCGGUGUGGGACUGUUUGGUCUAGAUGCGUAUAAAAGAGAAGAAGACCAAACUCUCUUAAUCUUCUUUCCUCUAUUUCUUGUUUCUCUAAGAAAGUUGAGAGAUAGGGAUUGGACAAGAAAUGAUUACAGCUUUCAGCAUCCUAAAAAUAAUGGAUGAUGUUUUGUGCUACUAUUCAUGGGAGUCUCGUUGAAUAAAGAGAAGUGGUUUGAGUUAAGUUGAUUUGAUUUUCUCUAUUUUUUGAUAAUUAAUGAGUUUGACCCCCAAUGUUGGCUGUUUUUCUUUACUUACUCUUUGUGGGUUUUUAAUAAAAUUUGGGAUUUAUUUUAUGAACUGAAAUUGUAAGUGAGAAUUGAGUUGGAAAGCUUGAGAAUGUGGGAAGAGUAGUGAGGGAAGGAGGGAGUGAAUGCAAAGUUUUUGAGUUUUCCAAUAAACGUGCUUAAGAAGUGUUUCCAUGGUUUUUCCAUUAUAUAUAGACUAAUUUCUAAAAUUUUUUGAAUCCUUUUUCAAAUUUUGCUCCAAGUCUUGGUCUUUCUAAUUUCUAUUGGAUUUGAUGAGUUUAUUUGUUUUACUUCAUAUUAUGUUGCCUUGUUUCCCUAAAUUUAAUUUUUUGCCACUUGAUUUUCAUUUGUUCUUUGUUUUGUGCAUAUAAAUAAAUUCCCUUUCUUGUAAUUUUUUACUUUGAUUUUCAUUUUUUGAUUGUGAUUAUCUCAACAAAAAUGCAAAGCCAAGCAAAUUUAUUGCCUUGAUUAAUUUGAGAUUAGUGUUGAGAAAUGAUGGGAUAUAUUUGAUGAAAAUAGUGCAGUUGGCAGCAAGGAUUGGAGUUUCAAAUUUGUACAAGAAAACAAAGAAAUCAUUUUUUGAGACGUAAGUGCUCUAUACUAUUACAGUUACAUUCUAACAUAGUCCCAGCAAGGAUUUCCUCUUUAGUACAUACAUAUAUAUUUGGAUGGUGCGUCAUGACAGCAAGAAGAUUAGAAGAUGUUCAUGAUUUGUCUUAUUUUUGCAGGUUAAAGACAUGUACAACCAUGUGAAUGAGUGGUCGGGACUAAAAGGCUCAUUUGAUUGCAGAUUAUGCCUAUGUGAUAAUAAUGACGUAAUUUGAAGAAGUUAGUAUUGAGUUGAAACGAAAGCAAAAUUCAUGCAAUUUUGAACAAUGAAUUUAUUGAAUGGAAAUGUUUGUAAUUUCUUAUUUGUUUGUUGGUGUAUUUUAAAUAUUCUAACUUUAUAAUUCAUUUAAUUAAAUGAU